RNAcentral lists this transfer RNA (90 nucleotides) under Candidatus Portnoybacteria bacterium CG23_combo_of_CG06-09_8_20_14_all_37_13. RNAcentral describes it as "tRNA-Ser". It matches the Rfam family "tRNA". Rfam says of the family: Transfer RNA (tRNA) molecules are approximately 80 nucleotides in length. Lineage: Bacteria; Candidatus Portnoyibacteriota. The record is from RNAcentral.
GGAGGUGUGCCAGAGUGGACGAAUGGGAUGGUCCUGAAAACCAUUAGACCCUCACGGGUCUCAGAGGUUCGAAUCCUCUCGCCUCCGCCA